AACGAACGCUGGCGGCGUGCCUAACACAUGCAAGUCGAGCGAGAAAAGGGGGCGAACUACCCUGAGUACAGCGGCGCACGGGUGAGUAACACGCAGGUAACCUGCCCUCGAGCUCGGAAUAACCUACCGAAAGGUGGGCUAAUACCGGAUAUGACCACGGGAGUUUCGGCUCCUGCGGUGAAAGGUGGCCUCUACCUGUAAGCUACCACUCAAGGAUGGGCCUGCGUGCCAUUAGCUAGUUGGUAAGGUAACGGCUCACCAAGGCUAUGAUGGCUAGCUGGUCUGAGAGGAGGGCCAGCCACACUGGGACUGAAACACGGCCCAGACUCCUACGGGAAGGCAGCAGUAAGGAAUAUUGCUCAAUGGCCGAAAGGCUGAAGCAGCAACGCCGCGUGAGGGAUGAAGGCCUUUGUNUCGUAAACCUCUGUAGAAGGGGAGAAACUUUCCGCUCUGCGG
Molecule: ribosomal RNA, 456 nt
Filed under: uncultured bacterium
Lineage: Bacteria
Description: bacterial SSU rRNA
Rfam family: Bacterial small subunit ribosomal RNA
Source: RNAcentral